UACGAAGGGGGCUAGCGUUGCUCGGAAUCACUGGGCGUAAAGGGUGCGUAGGCGGGUCUUUAAGUCAGGGGUGAAAUCCUGGAGCUCAACUCCAGAACUGCCUUUGAUACUGAAGAUCUUGAGUCCGGGAGAGGUAAGUGGAACUGCGAGUGUAGAGGUGAAAUUCGUAGAUAUUCGCAAGAACACCAGUGGCGAAGGCGGCUCACUGGCCCGGUACUGACGCUGAGGCACGAAAGCGUGGGGAGCAAACAGG
This 253-nucleotide ribosomal RNA is filed under the name uncultured bacterium. RNAcentral's name for it is "partial 16S ribosomal RNA". It matches the Rfam family "Bacterial small subunit ribosomal RNA", at positions 524 to 776 of the family's 1533-position model. The record is from RNAcentral.